RNAcentral lists this ribosomal RNA (253 nucleotides) under uncultured bacterium. RNAcentral's name for it is "partial 16S ribosomal RNA". It matches the Rfam family "Bacterial small subunit ribosomal RNA", at positions 524 to 776 of the family's 1533-position model. The record is from RNAcentral.
UACGUAGGGUGCGAGCGUUGUCCGGAAUUAUUGGGCGUAAAGGGCUCGUAGGCGGUUUGUCGCGUCGGGAGUGAAAUCCACUGGCUUAACUGGUGGCUUGCUUUCGAUACGGGCAGACUGGAGGUAUGCAGGGGAGAACGGAAUUCCUGGUGUAGCGGUGAAAUGCGCAGAUAUCAGGAGGAACACCGGUGGCGAAGGCGGCGACCUGGGUAGAUACUGACGCUGAGGUGCGAAAGCGUGGGGAGCAAACAGG